Molecule: ribosomal RNA, 831 nt
Filed under: Coprinopsis cinerea
Lineage: Eukaryota; Fungi; Basidiomycota; Agaricomycetes; Agaricales; Psathyrellaceae
Description: LSU rRNA
Rfam family: Eukaryotic large subunit ribosomal RNA
Source: RNAcentral
UAACGUAGUAAGACUAACAGGAUUCCCCUAGUAACUGCGAGUGAAGCGGGAAAAGCUCAAAUUUAAAAUCUGGCAGUCUUUGGCUGUCCGAGUUGUAAACUAGAGAAGUGUUACCCGCGUCGGACCGUGUACAAGUCUCCUGGAAUGGAGCAUCAUAGAGGGUGAGAAUCCCGUCUUUGACAUGGACUACCGAGGCUUUUGUGGUGCGCUCUCAACGAGUCGAGUUGUUUGGGAAUGCAGCUCAAAAUGGGUGGUAAAUUCCAUCUAAAGCUAAAUAUUGGCGAGAGACCGAUAGCGAACAAGUACCGUGAGGGAAAGAUGAAAAGAACUUUGGAAAGAGAGUUAAACAGUACGUGAAAUUGCUGAAAGGGAAACGCUUGAAGUCAGUCGCGUUGGCCGGAAAUCAACCCUGCUUCUGUUGGGUGUACUUUCUGGUUGACGGGCCAGCAUCAGUUUUGACCGGUGGAAAAAGUCCAAGGGAAUGUGGCAUCUCCGGAUGUGUUAUAGCCCUUGGUCGUAUACAUCGGUUGGGACUGAGGAAUUCAGCACGCCGCAAGGCCGGGUUUCGACCACGUUCGUGCUUAGGAUGCUGGCAUAAUGGCUUUAAUCGACCCGUCUUGAAACACGGACCAAGGAGUCUAACAUACCUGCGAGUGUUUGGGUGGAAAACCCGGACGCGUAAUGAAAGUGAAAGUCAGGAUCCCUGUCAUGGGGAGCACUGGCGCCCGCACCUGAAGUUUACGGACGGAUGUGAGGUAAAGCAUGUAUGCUAGGACCCGAAAGAUGGUGAACUAUGCCUGAAUAGGGUGAAGCCAGAGGAAACUCUGGUGG